RNAcentral lists this ribosomal RNA (467 nucleotides) under uncultured bacterium. Its description in RNAcentral is "partial 16S ribosomal RNA". It matches the Rfam family "Bacterial small subunit ribosomal RNA", at positions 28 to 506 of the family's 1533-position model. The record is from RNAcentral.
GACGAACGCUGGCGGCGUGCUUAACACAUGCAAGUCGAACGGAAAGGCCCUGCUUUUGUGGGGUGCUCGAGUGGCGAACGGGUGAGUAACACGUGAGUAACCUGCCCUUGACUUUGGGAUAACUUCAGGAAACUGGGGCUAAUACCGGAUAGGAGCUCCUGCUGCAUGGUGGGGGUUGGAAAGUUUCGGCGGUUGGGGUUGGACUCGCGGCUUAUCAGCUUGUUGGUGGGGUAGUGGCUUACCAAGGCUUUGACGGGUAGCCGGCCUGAGAGGGUGACCGGCCACAUUGGGACUGAGAUACGGCCCAGACUCCUACGGGAGGCAGCAGUGGGGAAUAUUGCACAAUGGGCGGAGGCCUGAUGCAGCAACGCCGCGUGCGGGAUGACGGCCUUCGGGUUGUAAACCGCUUUCGCGUGUGACGAAGCGUGAGUGACGGUAAUGGGUAAAGAAGCACCGGCUAACUACGU